This 252-nucleotide long non-coding RNA is filed under the name Gossypium barbadense (sea-island cotton). Its description in RNAcentral is "long non-coding RNA (GBAR_LNC000816)". Lineage: Eukaryota; Viridiplantae; Streptophyta; Magnoliopsida; Malvales; Malvaceae. The record is from RNAcentral.
GUUCUUUGAUUUUGGUAAGUACUUAUGACUCUCUCUCUCUAGUUCGUUCUAUAGGGGGGAUCGUUUGUCUAACGUUGUUUUCCCUUAUCGAACUUUGUUAGGGACGCUUCUUCUAGUCUGCUUGUACCCUUGACUUGUGUGGGUUAGAGCCGAUUAUACUUCCUUCCAAUCUAGUUAUUGCGUUUUUUGUAAGUAGACAUAUGUCAAAGUUUUAGAUUAUUCUUUUAGGGGAUGAUGGAUAAGACUCGGCUG